AGAGUUUGAUCAUGGCUCAGAUUGAACGCUGGCGGCAUGCUUUACACAUGCAAGUCGAACGGUAACAGGGAGCUUGCUCCGCUGACGAGUGGCGAACGGGUGAGUAAUGCAUCGGAACGUGCCGUGUAAUGGGGGAUAACGUAGCGAAAGUUACGCUAAUACCGCAUACGCCCUGAGGGGGAAAGUGGGGGACCGCAAGGCCUCACGUUAUACGAGCGGCCGAUGUCGGAUUAGCUAGUUGGUGGGGUAAAGGCCUACCAAGGCGACGAUCCGUAGCGGGUCUGAGAGGAUGAUCCGCCACACUGGGACUGAGACACGGCCCAGACUCCUACGGGAGGCAGCAGUGGGGAAUUUUGGACAAUGGGCGCAAGCCUGAUCCAGCCAUGCCGCGUGAGUGAAGAAGGCCUUCGGGUUGUAAAGCUCUUUCGGCCGGGAAGAAAUCGUGUUCUCUAACAUAGGACAUGGAUGACGGUACCGGACUAAGAAGCACCGGCUAACUACGUG
RNAcentral lists this ribosomal RNA (504 nucleotides) under uncultured bacterium. RNAcentral's name for it is "bacterial SSU rRNA". It matches the Rfam family "Bacterial small subunit ribosomal RNA", at positions 8 to 507 of the family's 1533-position model. The record is from RNAcentral.